AGUGAACGCUGGCGGUAGGCCUAACACAUGCAAGUCGAACGGCAGCACAGGAGAGCUUGCUCUCUGGGUGGCGAGUGGCGGACGGGUGAGGAAUACAUCGGAAUCUACUCUGUCGUGGGGGAUAACGUAGGGAAACUUACGCUAAUACCGCAUACGACCUACGGGUGAAAGCAGGGGACCUUCGGGCCUUGCGCGAUUGAAUGAGCCGAUGUCGGAUUAGCUAGUUGGCGGGGUAAAGGCCCACCAAGGCGACGAUCCGUAGCUGGUCUGAGAGGAGGAUCAGCCACACUGGAACUGAGACACGGUCCAGACUCCGACGGGAGGCAGCAGUGGGGAAUAUUGGACACUGGGCGCAAGCCUGAUCCAGCCAUACCGCGUGGGUGAAGAAGGCCUUCGGGUUGUAAAGCCCUUUUGUUGGGAAAGAAAUCCGGCUGGCUAAUACCCGGUUGGGAUGACGGUACCCAAAGAAUAAGCACCGGCUAACUUCGUGCCAGCCGCCGCCGUAA
RNAcentral lists this ribosomal RNA (506 nucleotides) under uncultured bacterium. Its description in RNAcentral is "partial 16S ribosomal RNA". It matches the Rfam family "Bacterial small subunit ribosomal RNA", at positions 29 to 523 of the family's 1533-position model. The record is from RNAcentral.